AACAAGAUGGAGAUUUUAGAAGGGAGACAGUAGGGACCUACAAGUCCUGCUAUGGUCAUAACCCAAGGAACUUAGGAAAACACACUGAAGUUUCACUGUGGCUAAGCAGAGACCAGGACCUGAGAGUAAGGCAUGGGGCUGAAGUUCUUACGUGGAAAGAGAAAAACAGGCAGAGAUUUGUGCUUUACCAGCCCCUGUCUUGGACCAACCCAGCAACACAAGCAUGUGUUUGUGCUGCUGUUCAGUGCUGCCAUCACCCAGCAACCAGGGAAGCCACUUGCUCAUCAGAGACGGCUCAGGAUGGUGACCAAGUACCACAAGAACCCCUCCUGGGCUCCUCCUGGAAUGGUGUGAUCAAGGGGUGCACCACUGUGCAGCCUUACCAUGAUUUGAUCAUUCCAAAAAUCCUCUGGCUCGUCAGGGCACACAGGAAUGGAGGGUGAGCCCAGGAACCCACUCACCCAGCAGCCCAGCCACACUGCAAGCAGAUUUUUCUUUCCUCAAAUAUAUCCAUUAUAUCUCUUCA
Long non-coding RNA from Vidua chalybeata, 526 nucleotides. RefSeq lists it as uncharacterized. The record is from RefSeq and is a predicted model, not a curated record. The transcript is spliced from 2 exons. Lineage: Eukaryota; Metazoa; Chordata; Aves; Passeriformes; Viduidae.